AUACAGAGGGUGCAAGCGUUAUUCGGAAUUACUGGGCGUAAAGCGCGCGUAGGCGGAUGAUUAAGUCAGUUGUGAAGGCCCUGGGCUCAACCUAGGAACUGCAUCUGAUACUGGUCGUCUAGAGUUUAAGAGAGGGAAGUGGAAUUCCAGGUGUAGCAGUGAAAUGCGUAGAUAUCUGGAGGAACAUCAGUGGCGAAGGCGACUUCCUGGCUUAAAACUGACGCUGAGGUGCGAAAGCGUGGGUAGCGAACGGGAUUAGAAACCCCAGUAGUCC
RNAcentral lists this ribosomal RNA (274 nucleotides) under uncultured bacterium. Its description in RNAcentral is "partial 16S ribosomal RNA". It matches the Rfam family "Bacterial small subunit ribosomal RNA", at positions 523 to 796 of the family's 1533-position model. The record is from RNAcentral.